Molecule: ribosomal RNA, 449 nt
Filed under: uncultured bacterium
Lineage: Bacteria
Description: partial 16S ribosomal RNA
Rfam family: Bacterial small subunit ribosomal RNA
Source: RNAcentral
AACGAACGCUGGCGGCAGGCUUAACACAUGCAAGUCGAACGAGAUCUUCGGAUCUAGUGGCAGACGGGUGAGGAACACGUGGGAACAUCCCUUUCAGUUCGGAAUAACGUUGGGAAACUAACGCUAAUACCGGAUACGUCCUUCGGGAGAAAGAUUUAUCGCUGAAAGAUUGGCCCGCGUCUGAUUAGCUAGUUGGUGAGGUAACGGCUCACCAAGGCUACGAUCUUUAGCUGGUCUGAGAGGAUGAUCAGCCAGACUGGGACUGAGACACGGCCCAGACUCCUACGGGAGGCAGCAGUAGGGAAUUUUCCACAAUGGGCGAAAGCCUGAUGGAGCAACGCCGCGUGCAGGAUGACGGCCUUCGGGUUGUAAACUGCUUUUAUGAGUGAAGAUUAUGACAGUAACUCAAGAAUAAGGGACGGCUAACUACGUGCCAGCAGCCGCCGUAA